RNAcentral lists this ribosomal RNA (494 nucleotides) under uncultured bacterium. Its description in RNAcentral is "partial 16S ribosomal RNA". It matches the Rfam family "Bacterial small subunit ribosomal RNA", at positions 28 to 523 of the family's 1533-position model. The record is from RNAcentral.
GAUGAACGCUAGCGGCAGGCCUAACACAUGCAAGUCGAGGGGUAGAACACUUCGGUGUUUGAGACCGGCGCACGGGUGCGUAACGCGUAUGCAAUCUACCUGAUACAGGGGAAUAGCCCAGAGAAAUUUGGAUUAAUGCCCCAUAGCAUUACGACUUGGCAUCAAGAUGUAAUUAAAGUUCCAACGGUAUAAGAUGAGCAUGCGUCACAUUAGUUAGUUGGUAAGGUAACGGCUUACCAAGACUAUGAUGGGUAGGGGUCCUGAGAGGGAGAUCCCCCACACUGGUACUGAGACACGGACCAGACUCCUACGGGAGGCAGCAGUGAGGAAUAUUGGUCAAUGGUCGCAAGACUGAACCAGCCAUGCCGCGUGCAGGAAGACGGUCCUAUGGAUUGUAAACUGCUUUUAUACAGGAAGAAACCCUCCCACGUGUGGGAGCUUGACGGUACUGUAGGAAUAAGGAUCGGCUAACUCCGUGCCAGCCGCCGCAGUAA